RNAcentral lists this ribosomal RNA (871 nucleotides) under Microbacterium sp. Its description in RNAcentral is "bacterial SSU rRNA". It matches the Rfam family "Bacterial small subunit ribosomal RNA", at positions 9 to 873 of the family's 1533-position model. Lineage: Bacteria; Bacillati; Actinomycetota; Actinomycetes; Micrococcales; Microbacteriaceae. The record is from RNAcentral.
CCCUUAGAGUUUGGUUCUGGCUCAGGAUGAACGCUGGCGGCGUGCUUAACACAUGCAAGUCGAACGAUGAAGCCCAGCUUGCUGGGUGGAUUAGUGGCGAACGGGUGAGUAACACGUGAGCAACCUGCCCCUGACUCUGGGAUAAGCGCUGGAAACGGCGUCUAAUACUGGAUAUGUCCCGUCACCGCAUGGUGUGCGGGUGGAAAGAUUUUUCGGUUGGGGAUGGGCUCGCGGCCUAUCAGCUUGUUGGUGAGGUAAUGGCUCACCAAGGCGUCGACGGGUAGCCGGCCUGAGAGGGUGACCGGCCACACUGGGACUGAGACACGGCCCAGACUCCUACGGGAGGCAGCAGUGGGGAAUAUUGCACAAUGGGCGGAAGCCUGAUGCAGCAACGCCGCGUGAGGGAUGACGGCCUUCGGGUUGUAAACCUCUUUUAGCAGGGAAGAAGCGAGAGUGACGGUACCUGCAGAAAAAGCACCGGCUAACUACGUGCCAGCAGCCGCGGUAAUACGUAGGGUGCAAGCGUUAUCCGGAAUUAUUGGGCGUAAAGAGCUCGUAGGCGGUCUGUCGCGUCUGCUGUGAAAUCCCGAGGCUCAACCUCGGGCUUGCAGUGGGUACGGGCAGACUAGAGUGCGGUAGGGGAGAUUGGAAUUCCUGGUGUAGCGGUGGAAUGCGCAGAUAUCAGGAGGAACACCGAUGGCGAAGGCAGAUCUCUGGGCCGUAACUGACGCUGAGGAGCGAAAGGGUGGGGAGCAAACAGGCUUAGAUACCCUGGUAGUCCACCCCGUAAACGUUGGGAACUAGUUGUGGGGUCCUUUCCACGGAUUCCGUGACGCAGCUAACGCAUUAAGUCCCCGCCUGGAGCCCCCCC